Rattus norvegicus (Norway rat) is the source of this 2619-nucleotide non-coding RNA. Lineage: Eukaryota; Metazoa; Chordata; Mammalia; Rodentia; Muridae. The record is from RefSeq and is a predicted model, not a curated record.
GUUAGAACAAAGGACAGAAAAGACAAGGAGCCAAUGCAGGAGCUGAGGCUCCAUCCUGUGGCUGCUGCAGAAGCCUGGGGGAUGGGGGUAACCUGACGGUUACUUGGUCCCAGGACAGACACACUGGGCUCUGGGAGGCCACAGGAGCAGCUGGAGUAAACCCUGUGGGAAGAGAGAAGAGACCUGUGCUGAGGCGACAGUUGUCUGUGGUGGUUCACAGGGGACAGUCAGGAGCAUAGAUGACCUUCAAUGUCUCCAGCGUACGGCUCCCAGCAUACGGCUCCCUCCGUGACUCCUUCCAUGUGAGUGACCGUCCAGAGAAGGCACCACCCACAGAGAUCCCUGGUAAAAGAGAUGGACUCUUCUUCCGGGAAUCCUUGUGGCAAGAUGGAUGAGAGGAGAAGGAAAGGCCAGGGAAGAUCAGGGAUAAUUUACACAGCAGCAGAUCAGAGGCGUGGAAAGAGCAGAUGGCCUUGGGGACAGAUGCAACAGGAUGCCAAGAACGCUUGGGUCGGGUUCAAGACUCCUCAGACCCGGGAGCUGCUAAGCCUCUCUCUUCCCUCCUCCCUGGAAGACUUGGACACUUGUUAUUUAUUACCUGAGAGCAGAGAACCCGAGAGCCUGAGCCAAGAGCAUAGCCAAAAGCCCGUUGGGAGCUGAUCCAAGCUCAGUGAAGAAUGAGAGUUGGCCAAGAGGACCUGGAGAAAGAAGAGACACCAGUUCUUCACGGCUGGGAGGCACAGAAGCAAGCAGCAGGCACGGAAGCAGGAGGAGGAAGCGGAGUGAUCACCUCUUCAACCUCAAGCAUGAAGCAGAGAGAGAAAUCCGGAAGUGGAGUGUGAGGGCUCAGCUUGAUAGUCAACUUGACCUUAUCUGGAGUCAACUGAACCCCAAGCAGCCAGGCAUGUCAGUAAGGGUUUUUCCCAGUUGGAUUCCUGGAGAUGAAAGACCCCCUAAAUGUGUGCCACACCUUCCGGUGCUCACAGAAAAGAACACGGAAGCAGGAAGCUUGGGGUUUUGUCUGUUUGCCCUCACUCUCGCCAGCAAGUUCGUCUCUCCUGGGCCAUUCCUUUACUUGCGUUUGUAACCUUAAUCUUUUCAAAAACCUAUUUUUUAAUAAUGGUUCAUAAACACUUUAACCUCCCUUGUAGCCCACCACCCACCAGAGGCAGUGGAAAGGAAAGGUUCUUUGGAGCAACUCCCAUCUGUGUUGUCAGGAAAUCAUCAGUUCACAGGUCAGCAGCGGCAGCUCGACCCACUCGAAAACACUUCACGGCUACACCAGCAGUCCAGGUCCAUAAAAUCAGGAUAGCAAACAGGAAUCACCAGCCUUGGCACUACCCAGCAGAGAGAGCCAGGCCUCAGCAGGGGGGACCAGGAGGGACACCAGGAGUUCUCAGCUGUGCUUCUCUCAGGGAAGCGAAGGUCAGACCAGCAGGCGUGCACAGCUAGCUCUAUAAGCAAGCCCAGCUCAGCCUCUGUCACGGUCUUCCCAGUCCUAUUUAUACUCCCUCCGACACGUCUUCUACAUGUCUGGCCUCAGCAUGUGAGUCUGUCUCAGUAGACGUCACUCUGCCCAUCAGCAGAGUCUGAGGAAGUGGCAAGACACUGCAUUCGCCGCCAGAAGUUUUUUUGGUGCGUUUCUCUAUAUGGCGUUCCGACAGAUGCAGCUCAAUUACAAAAUGGAAGGCGUACCAAUACACGUGUGCCGCUAGCAAAGAAUCCAUCGUCACGUAUCCUCUCCCAUGCUUGCUUUAGCAGAACAUCCUUUCACCUGUGUCUGCCACGGCACGACAUGCCUUCACGAGUCUGCCUUAGUCUCUCACCUGUGUCCGCUUCGGCUAAACGUCCCUUCAAGUGUUUGCCCCCGCUAAACACCAUCCAACGAACCCUUAAGUUCCCACUUCAGGUGUCAGAACCUACCUCUUCGGGACGCCAAUGAGGACGGAAGACCAGGAGCUCUCCAGGACUUCCAAGGACCCCAGCACUGUCUUUUAGUUCAUCCUAUCAGUUCUGUUCCCUUAGGGAGACACUAAUGCAUGGGGCAAGGCUAUGAACUCUCAAGGCCUGCUCCAAAGAUAUACUUCUUCUAACAAGGGCACACCUCUUCCCAAGACAGUGCCACCAGCUGGGGACCAAGUGCUCAAUACCCAAGCCUAUUGGGAAUAUUUCUCAUUCAAACCUCCACGCCAUGUAAGCCUGAGUUCAAUCCCUGAAACUCACAUAAAAAAAAAAAAAAGUGGGGUGUGGUGGCAUUCAUCUUAGUCUUCUGUUACCUGAAUGGGAGGUAGUGGGAGGAGGUAGUGGUCUGGGAGCUUUCUGACCGGCUAGCCUAGAGUACUCUGCACAGUGGCAAAAACAAGAGAGACCUUACCCAAUGAAGUGGAAGGCAAGAACGGCCCCUGAAAGGUAUCCUCUGACAUCUACAUGCACACUGUAGCAUACUUAAACACCACCUCAACACACACACACACACACACACACACACACACACACACACACACAAAUGAAUAAAUAUAAAUGUUUAAAUAAAAAAUAAGGGGCUGGGGACUUAGCUCAGUGGUAGAGCACUUGCCUAGGAAGCGCAAGGCCCUGGGUUCGGUCCCCAGCUCCGGAAAA